This 225-nucleotide ribosomal RNA is filed under the name uncultured bacterium. RNAcentral describes it as "partial 16S ribosomal RNA". It matches the Rfam family "Bacterial small subunit ribosomal RNA", at positions 309 to 526 of the family's 1533-position model. The record is from RNAcentral.
CACACUGGGACUGAGACACGGCCCAGACUCCUACGGGAGGCAGCAGUGGGGAAUUUUGGACAAUGGGCGAAAGCCUGAUCCAGCAAUGCCGCGUGUGUGAAGAAGGCCUUCGGGUUGUAAAGCACUUUUGUCCGGAAAGAAAUGGCUCUGGUUAAUACCUGGGGUCGAUGACGGUACCGGAAGAAUAAGGACCGGCUAACUACGUGCCAGCCGCCGCAGUAAUAC